AGGAGCGAGGCAGGAGAAGCAUUGGUUGGCUGGGUACGCCGCAUCCAGCUUUCCUUCUCUCCGUCCGCGGGAUAGUCGCGAGUCAUCGCUACCAGCGAGCGCGAGUUGGAGAUCAUCGGCUUUCGCGGCAGCGACUUCUACGGACGAACCAACCGUCUCCGAUUUGGAGUCCUGCUCAGGAUAACUAGAAUGGCAUGUGAUAUGCUUCAAGUUGUUAACAAUGAAAAGUAAUCAUGGAAAGUCAAGGUAAUUAGACUUUUCGUUGCCAUAAAUCCCAACAGCAACGAGCUUAUUAGCCUCGACAACUUAUUGAUGAGGAGAACACCAUGAUGCAUGCUAUUGUAAAGAAAUUUCAGGUCAGAAGGAUCAGUGCACAUGAUAUCAAAUUUCAAGGUUUCUUCAGUAGCACAAUAUAUUUCAGUUCACAAUGACAAAAUUCUCAACUUCUUAAAUACUACCAAAUAUAUGUAUAAUUGUAAGAGUUUCGCUAUUGAUGCAAUAAGGUUGUAAAACUUCUUUAUUAUCUAUAUAUGUAACCCAUACCAAUA
Oryza sativa Japonica Group (Japanese rice) is the source of this 548-nucleotide long non-coding RNA. RefSeq lists it as uncharacterized. Lineage: Eukaryota; Viridiplantae; Streptophyta; Magnoliopsida; Poales; Poaceae. The record is from RefSeq and is a predicted model, not a curated record.